RNA transcript from Daphnia carinata, 617 nucleotides. RefSeq lists it as uncharacterized. The record is from RefSeq and is a predicted model, not a curated record. Lineage: Eukaryota; Metazoa; Arthropoda; Branchiopoda; Diplostraca; Daphniidae. The transcript has 5 exons.
UUGUGCUAUUUCUGUCUGCACUCUGUUACGUUUGGUUGUGGUGUUUACACUUCAACACAACGUAUUCAAUACGUGAAGUGAUCUGUUAUGUUAUUGAUUGUCCAAUUUCGUGUCGUGACGUGUUUACGUUUAAGAACUGGAAAGACCUGAACAAGAUCAUGAACCAUACUCCGGAAGCCAAACUCAGAUUGCAGCCGGAUACGGAAAAGCCACAAGGACUGCGCUGGUGCUGCUAUCGAUGGCCGUUGUUACAUUAGCUAACACGCAGCGUUUGAAUACAAAAGGCACGGACAUGCGUGAAAUUAUCGAUGCAUAUUCAAGAGAGGAACGUCACCUUCUGUACUCAAAGACUGCCACGGUACCGGUGCCCAAAUACCGUCUGAUGGCAAGCACAAGAUGCUUUUGGAGCGGGACAUCGCCAUUUUGUAACGGAUCCUGUGGCAAAGGUUUCAUUAUGAUUGCUAGGAAUAAAUCAGGAGACGGACUUAGAUGCUGGUUUGGCAUUAAAAAGCUUUGCUGCCCGUUGUAGAGGCUGAAUCCUGGCAUAGAUGAAGCGGAGUCGUUUCAUGUACACGGAUUUGGUGUCAAGUUUUAAUACAUACAAUUUCACCCUUAAA